Xyrichtys novacula (pearly razorfish) is the source of this 9184-nucleotide non-coding RNA. Lineage: Eukaryota; Metazoa; Chordata; Actinopteri; Labriformes; Labridae. The record is from the annotation of a GenBank genome assembly.
CUCAGUCAGUCGUCGACAGCGAGUGUUGAAAUGGCGCAGGAAGGAGUUCAUCUGGACCGUGAGUCUUUCUCUUGUUCCAUCUGUUUGGAUCUUCUGAAGGAUCCGGUGACUGUUUCCUGUGGACACAGCUUCUGCAUGAGCUGUAUUCACUCCUACUGGGAUACUGAGGAUGAGAGGAUGGUCUACAGCUGUCCUCAGUGCAGAGAGACCUUUUUCAUCAGGCCUGUCCUGAUGAAAAACACCAUGUUAGCAGGUUUAGUGGAGGAAGUGAAGAGGAGUGGACUCCAAGCUGCUCCUGAUGGUUCCUCUGAGGCUGGACCUGAAGAUGUGGCCUGUGAUUCCUGCAGUGGGAGAAAACGGAAAGCUGUCAAGUCCUGUCUGCGAUGUCUGGUUUCUUACUGUCAGAUUCACCUCCAGCCUCAUUUUGAAUCACCUCCAUUUAAGAAACACAAGCUGGUGGAGCCCUCCAAGAAGCUCCAGGAGAACAUCUGCUCUGAUCAUGAUGAGGUGAUGAAGAUCUUCUGCCGCACUGACCGGAAGUCUAUCUGUUCUAUCUGCCGUUUGGACCAACACAAAGACCACGACACAGUCUUAGCUGCAGCAGAAAGGACUGAGAGGCAGAAAGAUCUGGAGGAGAGUCGAGAAAACAUCCAGCAGAGAAUCAAGGACAGAGAAGAAGAUGUGAAGCUUCUCCAACAGGAGGUGGAGACUAUCAACGGCUCUGCUGAUAAAGCUGUGGAGCACAGCCAGAAGAUCUUCACCCAGCUUAUCCGUCUCAUAGUGAAACGCCACUCUGACAUGGCGAAGCAGGUCAGAUCCCAGCAGGAACGUGAAGUGAGUCGAGUCAAAGAACUUCAGGAGAAGAUGGAACAGGAGAUCACUGAGCUGAAGAGGAAAGAUGCUGAUCUGCAGACACUCUCACUCACAGAGGACCACAACCAGUUUCUGCACAGCUACCCCUCACUGUCAGAACCGGGUCAACCUGCAGACUCAUCCAGGAUCAACAUCCGUCCUCAGAGAUACUUUGAGGAGGUGACAGCAGCUGUGUCAGAGGUUAGUGAUAAACUCCAGGAUCUUCUGACAAAGAUGUGGACAAACGUCUCACAGGCAGUGACUGAAGUGGAUGUUUUACUGUUAGAACCAGAACCCAAGACCAGAGCUGAUUUCCUAAGAUAUUCACGAAGAAUCACACUGGAUCCAAACACAGCAAACAGAUAUCUGAUAUUAUCUAAAGGAAACAGAAAAGCAACAUUAACAAGACAACGACAGUCUUAUCCUGAUCAUCCAGACAGAUUCACUUAUUAUGAUCAGGUCCUGAGUAGAGAGAGUCUGACUGGACGUUGUUACUGGGAGGUGGACUGGAGAGGGAACAGGGUAAGUGUAGCAGUCGCAUACAAGACGAUCAGCAGAGACGGGGACUCAGAUGAUUGUUUAUUUGGAGGAAAUGACAAAUCUUGGACGUUAGACUGCUCUAAAGACAUUUAUCAAUUUGUUCACAACGAAGUCCUCACUGAUGUCUCAGGUCCUCUGUCCUCCAGAGUAGGAGUGUACCUGGAUCACAGAGCAGGUAUUCUGUCCUUCUACAGCGUCUCUGAAACCAUGACUCUCCUCCACAGAGUCCAGACCACAUUCACUGAGCCGCUAUAUGCUGGACUGUUUUUCCUGUCUUUUAAGCACCGGUCUGUUGGAGCCUCUGCUAAGUUUAUUGAACCCAAAUAAAGAGAAUUUUGAGUCCAUCAGACCAAAAACAUGUAAUGAGAUCAUUGAACACUUGAAAUGUUCUGGUUUGUAAAUGUUUGUGGAUCAGUCUCACCAGAAACUUUCGGUUUAGUUCUUCAUUUCAGCUUUUUCAUUCUUUUGUAGCAAUCAAGACAACCCUGGGUGUGAAACUCACACAUUCCUCACAGGAAAGUUUCCUUAUCUGGUCCCUCGGUCGUAAAACCCUGCUCAACCAUGUUCUGAUAAAAAACUGCAUUCCUUUGAUGAAAGAAUACAAAUGACUGAUCAUGACAUCUUAUGUAUUCAGCAAUGUACUAAUCUGUCCAAUCAUGAAAUUUGUGUUAAAAUGAGAUGUUUCUCAUUGUUCUAUGUGCUCCAGAAGCUGAGUUAUCACUCUGACAGAAUAAUUCCUUUGUUCUUUAGUUUCUUUAGACCAACAGCUUUUCAGACUGUUUCCUCAACUUUUAAGAGUUACAUUUAUUGACUAUGGAUCAUAAGUUUCCUCUAAGUAACAGAAAUAGUUUAGAAAUGUUUGGUUUAUAUUUUAGUUGUUUAUUUAGUAUUUUUAACCAUUAGGUGGUUAUAAUGUCAUUGAAUAAUCUGAAUGUGAGUAUUUAGAAUCCAUUAGUAAUCACGAUGAAGUUCAUUCACAUGUAUUUACUCUUUUGUUGUUCACAGUUUCCAUGUGUUACUCUCUGUUUCAUUUCAGAGUAAUUUAGCAUGUUUAAUGUGAUACUUGAAACAUAAUGAGAAUGUUUGAUGUGAUCCUACAUUUCUUUAUAUGUGUUUAGUAUCAAAUUAUUUAUCAUGAAACCAAGCAUUCAAUGAUAUUAAUCAUAGUGAGUGAGUAUCAGAUCUGACUCUUUUACCAGCCAAAAGUAUAUGUUAGAUCAAAUAAUCAGAGAUCUGAGGUCUCCUCUGCUUGGAGACCCCACGACCCCUCCUCUUUCUCUUCACACACACACGCCAGAGACACUCCCAGUGUGAGAAGAUAAAACCAGAAAGGGGGGGGGUGCUCACGUUGCUUGUUCCCUUUGUACUCUUGUUGCCUCUCUUCUAUUUUUGCUUUUCUACUCUUAAGUUUUCGUUUAGCUUUUACUACUUAGUCUUACUUUUUCUUAGUCUUCUAAGUUUUGCGUUGAUUCACGUUGAUUUUCUUUAACAUCGUCUUCGUUCAAGUUUUGAAACUUCAACUUUUUGUGCGCAUAGCAAUUCAAGAUUAAGCCUUUGAUUGAUUUUUCUUUAAUUUCGCGAAGCCAUUUUUGAAAGUUUUCUCUGGUCAUCGAGCCUCGUUUUUCUGAGUUAUCUGCGAGAUUUCAAAGUCACCUCUGAACACAACCCAGCAGGCCCGGGUCAUCCUCUGCGCCAGAGUUUUUGAGUGAGACCAAAGAAGCAUCCAAACGAGCAUCCACAGGAUCCACAGGCGCCGGCUUUACUUCAGGCCCGAGUGCUACGACUCCUGGCCCAUCCUUCGGCUGACUUCGGCCGGUAGCCCGGACCUUCGGAACCUGCUCCAUCUUCUCCAAGGACCAGUCUUACUUAAGUAUGCAGACCUCCAGAGCUCCAAAGAGGGCUGAUGCUGUCUCAUGCGGUCAUAACUCAGAUAUCCACUUAUUCUGGUAAUCUUGGAUUCCUCCAAAUCCACAUCCAAAUUUACCUUGACACCAAAGAUAGUGUAGGUUAAUAUGUUCGAGCAUAUUCACUCACUAUCAUUAACUUUAGUGCUCCUAGCCUGACUUAGAAUCUUUAUUUGUUCACCUAUUAUUUUUUAUCCUCAUUAUCUUAUCAUUUAUUGCAUGUGUGUUGUACCAUCAUUUAUCCUGUAUUAAACAUCAUUAUUUCUAAGUUCUGGUCUUUUAGUGUUCUUCCAGAAGUGGAGUCCCUGAAAUGAGAAUCUCAGCUCAAGGUAUGAGAUUGAUUAAUUUAAGAUUUGACUUGAUGUUUGAUUUCUGAAUUAAACUUUAGUUUUCUUUAUUUUUCCACCAUUAAGGGUGGGUGGUGCCUCUUUCAACGAGUGCAUAAAUGUCAUAACUUGAGAUUAUUAAUCCUCAGACAUUUAUUAUAAAUUCAAAUCGCUACACUUUUCUAAAGAUGCUGAUUUGGUCGCAGCUUUAAGGACAGUGAUUGUGGAUAACUGAUUGUAUUUCUCAUUUUGAAAAAUCUUCAUGAAUUUUGAUAUCAACAACAUCAAGAUGAUCGUUUGUUCAAAUCACCUUCAGUUGGUGCAGAUGUUGAAGGUCUGAGACUUUAGAAAAAACUGACGUCAAAAUAUUGAAAGAAAGAUAAAAAAGGACGACCUUAUUUCCUGUCCCAAAUCCAAGCGUCUAAAGUCUUUCCAGUCGUCCCCAAAAACUCUUCAGAUGAUCUGUUUCUUUCUCUGUUUGCUGAAUAUUUGUGUUCAUGUGAUCGAUGGAUAUUUCUGUCUGCUUCUGUUGGAUCAGUGUGUUUGUAAAGACAUCUAGAAUGAGACUUUUAGCAGAUCAACAUGUUAUGAGCUUUCUAAUCACUUUUAUAAUAAUCACAUAUAUUAGUCCGACUGUUUUUCUGUUUCUGACUCAGCUCAGAUUGUGGGUGAAAACAAUAAAAAUCAUCAAGUUGAGUCACUGAAAGCACCUAACCUGUUUUUCUUUAUUUGGUCUGUUUCUGCUGGAUGUCAUGUUACAGGUCUUUCUGGGUCAUGGAUUCAUGUGGUCUGCAGGAUUUCCAUGAUGUGGUCACUCACAGGUGUUACAGGUCCUAGAUGUGGGUCCUGCAGCUGGAUCAGGUUUUCUGUAAGUAAGAGUAAUAAUCUUGAAAGAGAUUUAAGGUGUAUAUAUCAAGACAAGCAUUAUUAAAUCAUUAUUUGUUGCUCUGAGUAGUUUAAGAGUUUUGUAGCUCUGCAUUUUAUUUUGAAAGGUCCGCGGACUUCCGGUGUUACUUGUCACGACAGUUGUGUCCGAGUUUGGCAGAAGCGAACAGUCCAUUGGUAAGAAAUAACCUGCUAACAAUGUGUAGCCUCUGAAUAUAUAACGCUUUGGUGCCUAUUUCAUUGUCCUUGGAGAGAAAUAAGAGAAUGUUGAAUUAGAGAGUGUAAUUAAGUGUCCGUGGUUAGCAUUUGAUUAGCGCCGCUAGCUUCCGUUAGCAUUUUCUCUAGCUCCCUAUUAGCAUGCAAGGCUAACUCCAUUAGCAUUACAAGCUAGCGCUUAGCUGGCUGUUAUUAGCAUUUAGCUUGUAAUGUAAGCUGCUACUGUUGGUACUGUGAUACUGUGUUUAACCAGUUAGGUUCACUGUGUUUAUUGCAGUUAUACAUAAAAUGAGACCAUGAGGACCAGAAUAAAAACAUAAAAUAGGUAAGAAUAAGAAAUGUAUUAAAAAGGGGGGUUAAAAGCAGGAUACAGGGUAGUAAAUAUAAAAAGACAAUCUUAAUAAUGAUAAUAAAAUAACAAAAUAAUAUGAUCAUAAUAGUAAUGAUAAAAUAGAAUAAUAAAAAUGAGCAAGAAAAAAAACUAUCAAUAUAAGGCCUGAUAGGUUAAAUAAGAAAAGAUUAUAAGUAUAACAAAGGCUGAAAAGACAGUUAGCAAAAAUAAGAUUGCGGUAAAAGAGAAAAGACCUGUGUCACCUGUGUGGUCAAAAAAUAAAAGAAGUCCAAGAACAAAACAUUAGUUGUACCUUGAGUGUGCUUCCUGUCAAGCCUUUUCGGAGGGCUGAGUAUUUAAAAUCCGAUCAGUAUAUCGAUGUGUGUGAGUGCUGAUUGAGUUGAAGUUAAACUGCACUUUAAGUUUCAUAUCUUCUUUAACAGAUCACAACAUGACAGCAUCUUAAAACAGACUGAAUACAAACACAUAUACUGAACGCUCCUCUCUUAAGGAUUAAACAGGACAAAGCACCACCUGGCAGACAUUCUUCUGAGGGAAAGUGAACAACAUGAGAAACUGCAAAAAUAAUUUUAGAGAAUUCAGAAACAUAACAUGACACCCAAGAACAUGCAACAAAAUACAAACCUGCCUCAUUAGACACACAUACACAGAAAUAUGACACUAGUUGGAAGUGUUUCAGUGAUCCAUGAGGUGAAUAAAUGUUGGUUCAGUUGAUCUUCAGGACCGCUGCAGCUUUAAUAACCUCUGCAUGUUGGAGUUUGAGAGUCUUCCUCUUGUUCCGUUUCUUCUUCUUCUUCUUUAUUUAUCUCAAACUUUAAGAACUACAACAACAAAAAACAACUAGAAACAAAAACACCAAACAAAAUAAUAAAUAUGUACACCAAACAACUGUACAUGUCAAAGAUAAAUUAACACAACAUAUGUAUUAAGGCUGCACGAUAUUGGAAAAAAAUAAUAUUGCGAUUUUUUCAACCCUGCGAUAUAUAUUGCGAUAUUAAAAAUACAGUAUUUUCACCAGAUGACCUGAAUAGCACUUAAUGUCAUGCUGCACUGCUGAAAUCUUGAGGACAGUUAAUCUGCUCUGAUCUUACCUCUUUUUGUGAAUGUUAGUAGAACGGCUUCUGUCUGUCUCAGAGAUAUUUUUAGCUUUUAUUGUGCUGGGACGUUAUUGUGGAAACAGAUGAACACAGAAGACGUGUUUUGGUCGACAUCAUCCUUUUUUAACCGAAAUAAUUUAAGAUAACUGACUUUCCUUUUCUUUUUGGCAACAAAUCUUCAUUUUCGGUGGUUUUCGCUUGUUCGUUGUUCAUUUUGCGAUCGUUGUUGUUGUUGUUAGCGGUGCUGUACCGAGAAACGCAUGUACUCCGAGAAUUGCAUGCACCUCGCAAAACGCGCACUGCUUAUAGUAGAGUGAUUCACGGAAAUGUACAAUUUAAAACCCAUACAGUUCUUAUUUGUUGGGCUUAAUAGUCAUGAGUAAAGUUCCGAAAGUAAUUCUCAGCGGACACGCGUCUCCCUCCAUGUGCAGAACAUGUGCAGGGGUGGGUUUUCUCCUCCCUGAUUUUGAUUGACAGCUGGCAGGGUAGUCUGAUUGGCAGCUGAGAAGUGAGUCUGACUGGCAACUGAGUUAAGGACGAAGGCGAUUGGUGGAUCGCUGCACAGCACAUGCAGAGUCACAUGGAGUGUAUCUCAGUCGGUUACUCUUGAAAUUAAAUGAGUUCAUUCACCUCCAAUAUCGCAGGCUCUGCGAUGUGACUAUCGCACACACGUACAUCGCGAUGACGAUAGUCAAACGAUAUAUCGUUCAGGCCUAAUAUGUAUGUCAAAAUGUACAGUUUGGGAAGGAACAGAAUGAAGCAAAGACUUAAUCUAGUCCUGCCUCUUCCUAGCAAAUUAGAAAUUAAAAAAAAAGAAAAAAUCUAUUUUAAUAAAUUACAAAGAUCUGUAUAAAUACCUACAUUUUAUACACCAAGUGUAUAAAGUUAAAUCAAUAGUCUAAUAAACAACAAACAACUUACCUUGGUGCAGAUAAAGGUAUUCUUCGUAACGUUCCUCAGGUAACGCUGGUUAUGUGGCCGGCCACAUAACUUAUACACAGCAUGCACUUUUCCAAGGCACGCUUCGGCUUCAGAAGAGGAAUAAAAAAUGCCCCAUUCAAACGCUCUGGGUACCUAGUGUCGCUGUUGCAGGUCCCCCAGCAGCAACGUUUCACCAUGGUGGUAAUAUAAUAUGAAUCUUCUUGAUAUUAUAUUGUUAAUCAACUUCUGAAAAAGCCCUAAAUAACAUGUGAUUUAACGAGUGAUGUGGCCAUGAUGUCCGACUCUUGUUUGCUACGCUGUGAUUGGACCAUCGCAGUCUGGGGGCGGAACGUACCGAAGAGUCUAUCGGACAGAUACAUUUAUGUUCACUCCUUAGAUUAUAGCCCCCCUCCCUGGUUUUGAACAUCUUUUGUAGAUUAGCAGGUAACUUACUUUGUGUUACUUUGUACAGCACUUGAUCCGUUUUAUAAUUGACUAUGUCAUUAAAUUUUAACAUUUCUGAUUUUAGGAACAGAGGGCUGGUGUGAUCUCUGUAUCCAGCAUGAUUUAUGGUCCGGAUGACCUUUUUUUGUGUUUAUCUUUUGUAGAUUGGUCUUGUAUGUGUUUCCCCAGAUUUCAACACUGGGGAAAGGCAGGAUCAUGGAGCAGUAGAGUGUGCGUUGUGAUUUUUGUGGUAAUAAAUUAAUUUGCUGAUAGUUCCGAUACUGGUGAUUUUUUUUGGUAUCAGAAGAAGAAAGAGAGGAAAGAAAAAGAAAGAGGGGAGGCAGCUGUUGACUGCUUUCUUUCCCAAAGGUGAAUCCAGUUUGUUUGUUCUGUAAAGUCCAGUUAAAGUCAAGUAGGACUCUAAACUUCACAUCGCCGCUGCUCUCCCUGAAUUAUACAAGAGCUGAAUUUCCCCUCCCUCGUCUCUCACACAGCUCACUCCACUCUGCACACUCACUUCCUUGCUCUCUUCACUUCCUCUUUCCCUCCCCUUCAGAUCUACAGUUGUAACUAACGUGUGCUGAGCUGAUAUCCUGCUGAAACACAUGUUGUUGAGAUCAGAGCUCAGACUAGUUUCACUUCUCAGGAAAUAAAACUCAGUCAGUUGUUGUCAACAGCGAGUGUUGAAAUGGCGCAGAAGGGAGUUCUUCUGGACCGUGAGUCUUUCUCUUGUUCCAUCUGUUUGGAUCUUCUGAAGGAUCCGGUGACUGUUAACUGUGGACACAGCUUCUGCAUGAGCUGUAUUCAAUCCUACUGGGAUACUGAGGAUGAGAAGAAGAUCUACAGCUGUCCUCAGUGCAGACGGACCUUCAGACCGAGGCCUGUCCUGAUGAAAAACACCAUGUUAGCAGGUUUAGUGGAGGAAGUGAAGAAGAGUGGACUCCAAGCUGCUCCUGAUGAUCCCUCUGAGGCUGGACCUGAAGAUGUGGCCUGUGAUUCCUGCAGUGGGAGAAAACUGAAGGCUGUCAAGUCCUGUCUUCAAUGUCUGGUUUCUUACUGCCAGAUUCACCUCCAGCCUCAUUUUGAAUCACCUUCAUAUAAGAAACACAAGCUGGUGGAGCCCUCCAAGAACCUCCAGGAGAACAUCUGCUCUCGUCAUGAUGAGGUGAUGAAGAUCUUCUGCCGCACUGAUAAGAAGUCUAUCUGUCAUCUCUGCUGUUUGGACCAACACAAAGGUCACAACACAGUCUCAGCUGCGGCAGAAAGGACUGAGAGGCAGAAAGAUCUGGAGGAGAGUCGAGAAAACAUCCAGCAGAGAAUCCAGGACAGAGAAGAAGAUGUGAAGCUGCUCCAACAGGAGGUGGAGGCUAUCAACGGCUCUGCUGAUAAAGCUGUGGAGCACAGCCAGGAGAUCUUCAGCCAGCUGAUCCGUCUGAUGGAGAAACGCCGCUCUGACGUGGAGCAGCAGGUCAGAUCCCAGCAGGAACGUGAAGUGAGUCGAGUCAAAGAACUUCAGGAGAAACUGGAGCAGGAGAUCACUGAGCUGAAGAGGAAAGAUGCUGAUCUGCAGAAGCUCUCACUCACAGAGGACCACAACCAGUUUCUGCACAGCUACCCCUCACUGUCAGAACCGGGUCAACCUGCAGA